CCUACGGGAGGCAGCAGUGGGGAAUAUUGCACAAUGGGGGGAACCGUGAUGCAGCAACGCCGCGUGGGUGAAGAAGGACUACGGAAUGUAAAGCCCUGUCAGCAGGGAAGAAAAUGACGGUACCUGACCAAGAAGCCCCGGCUAACUACGUGCCAGCAGCCGCGGUCAUACGUAGGGGGCAAGAGUUAUCCGGAUUUACUGGGUGUAAAGGGAGCGUAGGAGGGAAGGCAAGUGUGGAGUGAAAGCCGGUGGCCCAACCACGGGACUGCUUUGGAAACUGUGUUGCUGGAGUGCAGGAGGGGUAAGCGGAAUUCCUAGUGUAGCGGUGAAAUGCGUAGAUAUUAGGAGGAACCCCGGUGGCGAAGGCGGCUUACUGGACUGUAACUGACGUUGAGGCUCGAAAGCGUGGGGAGCAAACAGGAUUAGAUACCCCAGUAGUC
Molecule: ribosomal RNA, 440 nt
Filed under: uncultured bacterium
Lineage: Bacteria
Description: partial 16S ribosomal RNA
Rfam family: Bacterial small subunit ribosomal RNA
Source: RNAcentral